Molecule: ribosomal RNA, 714 nt
Filed under: uncultured bacterium
Lineage: Bacteria
Description: bacterial SSU rRNA
Rfam family: Bacterial small subunit ribosomal RNA
Source: RNAcentral
AACGAGAAAGUGGAGCAAUCCAUGAGUAAAGUGGCGUACGGGUGAGUAACACGUGGAUAAUCUGCCCUUUAGUGGGGAAUACCGAUGGGAAACCGUCGACAAUACCGCAUAAGCUCGAGAGAGGAAAGCAGCAAUGCGCUGAAGGAGGAGUCCGCGGUCGAUUAGCUAGUUGGUGAGGUAAUGGCUCACCAAGGCUGUGAUCGAUAGCCGGCCUGAGAGGGCACACGGCCACACUGGCACUGAAACACGGGCCAGACUCCUACGGGAGGCAGCAGUGGGGAAUCUUGCACAAUGGGGGCAACCCUGAUGCAGCGACGCCGCGUGAGCGAUGAAGCCCUUCGGGGUGUAAAGCUCUUUCGGCAGGGAAGAUUAUGACGGUACCUGCAGAAGCAGCUGCGGCUAACUACGUGCCAGCAGCCGCGGUAAUACGUAGGCAGCAAGCGUUGUUCGGAGUUACUGGGCGUAAAGGGUGCGUAGGCGGUCCUGUAAGUAUGGCGUGAAAUCUCCCGGCUUAACUGGGAGGGUGCGCUAUAGACUGCGGGACUAGAGGGUGGGAGAGGAAAGUGGAAUUCCUGGUGUAGCGGUGAAAUGCGUAGAUAUCAGGAGGAACACCGGUGGUGUAAACGGCUUUCUGGACCAUUUCUGACGCUGAGGCACGAAAGCGUGGGUAGCAAACAGGAUUAGAUACCCUGGUAGUCCUAGCCCUAAACGAUG